GGAUUAUUAAGAGAGAGCAGCAAUGGUUUUUGGAACUUGCCUUGUACCCAAACUCGCUGCAUUUUCACUUUUUUCUUCCUAUUUACUUGUAAUCGACGAUCAACUAAAUUCUGUAUUUCAGUUAAUCCAGCCAAAGUGAACAUGUUCUGUACCUCUUCUUUGGUAAAGAAAUAUACUCUGGUUCCAUCUCCUCGUACAUAAAAAUUUUCUGACAAGCAAUGACCUAUGAAAUUUGAACAGAAAAGUGAUGUUUGUGUUUUUCUCCCCGAAAACAAUAAAAAUAAACAGUAUGAUACAAAAGCAUUCAGGAUUUACCUUUUUUAAAACGAAGUUGAGCUGUAUCGUAUCUUCCAUAGUCUCG
This 361-nucleotide long non-coding RNA is filed under the name Gallus gallus (chicken). Lineage: Eukaryota; Metazoa; Chordata; Aves; Galliformes; Phasianidae. The record is from RNAcentral.